Molecule: ribosomal RNA, 435 nt
Filed under: uncultured bacterium
Lineage: Bacteria
Description: partial 16S ribosomal RNA
Rfam family: Bacterial small subunit ribosomal RNA
Source: RNAcentral
AGCGAACGCUGGCGGCAGGCUUAACACAUGCAAGUCGAGCGGGCACUUUCGGGUGUCAGCGGCGGACGGGUGAGUAACGCGUGGGAACGUGCCCUCUGGUUCGGAAUAACUCAGGGAAACUUGAGCUAAUACCGGAUACGCCCUUUUGGGGAAAGGCUUGCUGCCGGAGGAUCGGCCCGCGUCUGAUUAGCUAGUUGGUGAGGUAACGGCUCACCAAGGCGACGAUCAGUAGCUGGUCUGAGAGGAUGAUCAGCCACACUGGGACUGAGACACGGCCCAGACUCCUACGGGAGGCAGCAGUGGGGAAUAUUGGACAAUGGGCGCAAGCCUGAUCCAGCCAUGCCGCGUGAGUGAUGAAGGCCUUAGGGCUGUAAAGCUCUUUUAUCCGGGACGAUAAUGACGGUACCGGAGGAAUAAGCCCCGGCUAACUUCGUG